Molecule: long non-coding RNA, 798 nt
Filed under: Homo sapiens (human)
Lineage: Eukaryota; Metazoa; Chordata; Mammalia; Primates; Hominidae
Description: HSALNT0374710
Source: RNAcentral
CGCCAGCCAGCCCACCCCGCCCCGGCGGCCUCUGGGAAAACGCGUCCCGGGCGAGCCCCUGAGGGCAGGAUCGGAGUCGGGGGCACCUGGGGAAGGAGAGCGCCCCGUGGGGCCUCGGCCGGUGGCCUGUGCCAAAAGGCCGGGCAGAGCUGCUUCGGUGUCUGGGUGAAGUUUCCAGCCAACCCAAGAAGGAAACCGAAAGGGAAGAGGCCGAGAGAGAGGUUAAUUCCUAGUGCUUUGGUUACCGAAAACAGCCCGGCUGGGACUGCUGGGCUGGGAACUUAGCUAAGCAGUGCGGAGGCUGAACCCCACCAUCUCUGGGAUCCGCAGCAAAUCAGAAGCCCCCACCCACGAUAAGGGGAAAAUGGGGCGCAGAGGGCAGGGAGGAAGGGAAGAGAAUGGAAGGAAAGCGCGUCUGGACUUUGAACUGCAGCCCUCUCCCUCUUUCCCUUGCCUCGGAAGCUCCAGGCCCACUCAGCACCAGUUCUGUCUCCUCUUUUCAGCCGCCUUCUCUCUAGCUACUGAGGGGAAAAGUCAGGAUGAAGCGGGUCCCUCGGCCUCCAGAAGGUGUUUUAUUACAGUCGCAAACAGCGCAGCCCAGGAAUUCUACCUAAAGUAACAUAUCCUAAGGCAACAACCAAGAAGUGUGGAAGAAUGCAUGUAAGAAGACACAGUGAUGUUUAGAAUCCUGGGGAAACGGAACAGCCAAAAAGUCUCACAGAGGUUAAGUAAAUAAUAGCAUUUUCAUACGAGUACUAUGUAGUCAUUUAAAAUUAUGUCUUUCAGUACCUAGUAAUG